This 454-nucleotide ribosomal RNA is filed under the name uncultured Pelotomaculum sp. Its description in RNAcentral is "bacterial SSU rRNA". It matches the Rfam family "Bacterial small subunit ribosomal RNA", at positions 929 to 1382 of the family's 1533-position model. The record is from RNAcentral. Lineage: Bacteria; Bacillati; Bacillota; Clostridia; Eubacteriales; Desulfotomaculaceae.
GCGGUGAUGAUGUGGAUUAAUUCGAUGCAACGCGAAAACCUUUACCCACCUUUGACAUGUACGGAAUCCUUUAGAGAUAGAGGAGUGCUCGAAAGAGAACCUGCACACAGGUGCUGCAUGGCUGUCGUCAGCUCGUGUCGUGAGAUGUUGGGUUAAGUCCCGUAACGAGCGCAACCCCUACGUUUAGUUGCUAACAGGUGAAGCUGAGCACUCUAGACGAACUGCCGUUGACAAAACGGAGGAAGUGGGGAUGACGUCAAAUCAUCAUGCCCCUUAUGUUCUGGGCUACACACGUGCUACAAUGGCCGGUACAGACGGAGGCGAAGCCGCGAGGCGGAGCAAAUCCGAAAAAGCCGGUCUCAGUUCGGAUUGCAGGCUGCAAUUCGCCUGCAUGAAGUCGGAAUCGCUAGUAAUCGCAGGUCAGCAUACUGCGGUGAAUACGUUCCCGGGCCUU